Molecule: ribosomal RNA, 292 nt
Filed under: uncultured bacterium
Lineage: Bacteria
Description: partial 16S ribosomal RNA
Source: RNAcentral
GGACUACAAGGGUAUCUAAUCCGGUUCGCUCCCCACGCUCUCGCACAUCAGCGUCAGCAGAUGCCCAGUCGGCUGGUUUCCCCCUGGGUGUUCCUGCCGAUCUCUACGCAUUUCACCACUACACCGGCAAUUCCACCGACCUCUGCAUCGCUCCAGUCGCGCCGUAUGGGAUGGCGCCUGGCCGUUAAGCGGCCAGAUUUCACACCCCACGCGCGCAACCGCCUGCGUGCGCUUUACGCCCAGUCAAUCCGGACAACGCUUGGCUCCUCUGUAUUACCGCGGCUGCUGGCAC